This 20-nucleotide microRNA is filed under the name Polistes canadensis. RNAcentral's name for it is "pca-miR-1175-5p". Lineage: Eukaryota; Metazoa; Arthropoda; Insecta; Hymenoptera; Vespidae. The record is from miRBase by way of RNAcentral.
AAGUGGAGAAGUGGUCUCUA